AGAAGGCUAUGUUGGCCGGGCGACGGUUGACCCGGUUUAAGCGUGUAGGCUGGUUUUCCAGGCAAAUCCGGAAAACCAAGGGUGAGGCGUGAUGACGAGGCACUACGGUGCUGAAGCGACAAAUGCCCUGCUUCCAGGAAAAGCCUCUAAGCAUCAGGUAACAUCAAAUCGUACCCCAAACCGACACAGGUGGUCAGGUAGAGAAUACCAAGGCGCUUGAGAGAACUCGGGUGAAGGAACUAGGCAAAAUGGUGCCGUAACUUCGGGAGAAGGCACGCUGAUAUGUAGGUGAAGCGACUUGCUCGUGGAGCUGAAAUCAGUCGAAGAUACCAGCUGGCUGCAACUGUUUAUUAAAAACACAGCACUGUGCAAACACGAAAGUGGACGUAUACGGUGUGACGCCUGCCCGGUGCCGGAAGGUUAAUUGAUGGGGUUAGCGGCAACGCGAAGCUCUUGAUCGAAGCCCCGGUAAACGGCGGCCGUAACUAUAACGGUCCUAAGGUAGCGAAAUUCCUUGUCGGGUAAGUUCCGACCUGCACGAAUGGCGUAAUGAUGGCCAGGCUGUCUCCACCCGAGACUCAGUGAAAUUGAACUCGCUGUGAAGAUGCAGUGUACCCGCGGCAAGACGGAAAGACCCCGUGAACCUUUACUAUAGCUUGACACUGAACAUUGAGCCUUGAUGUGUAGGAUAGGUGGGAGGCUUUGAAGUGUGGACGCCAGUCUGCAUGGAGCCGACCUUGAAAUACCACCCUUUAAUGUUUGAUGUUCUAACGUUGGCCCGUAAUCCGGGUUGCGGACAGUGUCUGGUGGGUAGUUUGACUGGGGCGGUCUCCUCCUAAAGAGUAACGGAGGAGCACGAAGGUUGGCUAAUCCUGGUCGGACAUCAGGAGGUUAGUGCAAUGGCAUAAGCCAGCUUGACUGCGAGCGUGACGGCGCGAGCAGGUGCGAAAGCAGGUCAUAGUGAUCCGGUGGUUCUGAAUGGAAGGGCCAUCGCUCAACGGAUAAAAGGUACUCCGGGGAUAACAGGCUGAUACCGCCCAAGAGUUCAUAUCGACGGCGGUGUUUGGCACCUCGAUGUCGGCUCAUCACAUCCUGGGGCUGAAGUAGGUCCCAAGGGUAUGGCUGUUCGCCAUUUAAAGUGGUACGCGAGCUGGGUUUAGAACGUCGUGAGACAGUUCGGUCCCUAUCUGCCGUGGGCGCUGGAGAACUGAGGGGGGCUGCUCCUAGUACGAGAGGACCGGAGUGGACGCAUCACUGGUGUUCGGGUUGUCAUGCCAAUGGCACUGCCCGGUAGCUAAAUGCGGAAGAGAUAAGUGCUGAAAGCAUCUAAGCACGAAACUUGCCCCGAGAUGAGUUCUCCCUGACUCCUUGAGGGUCCUGAAGGAACGUUGAAGACGACGACGUUGAUAGGCCGGGUGUGUAAGCGCAGCGAUGCGUUGAGCUAACCGGUACUAAUGAACCGUGAGGCUUAACCUUACAACGCCGAAG
Molecule: ribosomal RNA, 1488 nt
Filed under: Escherichia coli
Lineage: Bacteria; Pseudomonadati; Pseudomonadota; Gammaproteobacteria; Enterobacterales; Enterobacteriaceae
Description: bacterial LSU rRNA
Rfam family: Bacterial large subunit ribosomal RNA
Source: RNAcentral